GGUGGCUCCUUCCUGGCUGUGGCUCAGGAAGCAGAGCCUGGAGCGUCUCCACCAUGGCCUGGGCUCCACUCCUCCUCACCCUCCUCGCUCACUGCACAGGGUCUUGGGCUGAGGUUGUGUUCACUCAGCCCCAUUCUGUGUCGGGGUCUCCGGGGCAGACGGUCACCAUCUCCUGCACCCGCAGCAGUGGCAGCAUUGACAGCAGCUUUGUGUACUGGUACCAGCAGCGCCCGGGCAGCGCCCCCACCACUGUGAUCUACAAUGAUAACCGAAGACCCUCUGGGGUCCCUGAUCGGUUCUCUGGCUCCAUCGACAGCUCCUCCAACUCUGCCUCCCUCACCAUCUCUGGGCUGAAGUCUGAGGAUGAGGCUGACUACUACUGUCAGUCUGAUGACAGCAGCGGUUAUCACACAGUGCUCCAGCCUCAUGGGGAAGUGAGACAAAAUCUCCCCAGAAUGUCCCUACCUUGAUCUGCCCUCAGCCUGUCCCCACCAGUGAGGGCUGAAUUUUCCUGUCCCUGCUUGAACUUUGGAGUUAAACUUUUGUUUAUAGUUCCUGUAUUUUCUUUCCAAAACACAAAUAUUUUCUCCCAAGACUUGACGGGUGAUCCUCUAAUCCCUUUGUGAUUACUUCAUGGAACACACGUAGUUCAAAACUGUGUUUCUAAACAGCAGUGCUCUUGACACUGUGGGCUGGAUCAUCCCUUGUGAUGAGGGAAGCUCUCUGCAUUACAGUUCAUUUAGAAACAUCUUUUGUGUCCACAAGUCAGACGCCAGUAGCAACUUGCUCCCUGUCAUGGCAAACAAUAAUGAAUCACUAUUUCCCUAUAUGCCCAGGGAGGGUCACACUAGUUUGAAAACAGGAGAAUGUGGAAAAGCUGCAUCUAUUAAGAAGGCUUUGGCAGGGAAUCCCAUUCGUACCAUUCAGCUGGACAUGAGGCUGCAGGCAUUAGCUCUCUGCUUCUGCUUUCCCAUCUGGUAGGAAAACAGGUGCCUAGAACUCAAAUUACGGUCUCCGUGGAUGGAUCAUGUUCUGCGCAAAAUGGGGUCAGAAAAUCCAUUACCUAUUCAAAUGGAAUCUUCUCUCACCCACUGUGGAGUAUAACUUUUGGCAAACCAGAUGUGCCAUAAAUACUUAAAAUUUUUAGAGAAAGCUCAUGAAAAUAUAUAGACCUAGCUUUAUUUAUUCUUCCAGGGAGUACUUUUCAAGCACAGGAUAUAAAGAUGAAAAAUAAUCUAACACAAGUUCUUGUACCGUCGGAGUUUAGAUUUUAGAAUAUAUGAGAUGACAAGAGCGGUGACAGAGCUGAGUGGACAAUGAUGUCCUUCCUUUUCCCAUAGGGCUGGAUCAAAUUUGGUCCCACCUCUAUUUUUUUACCCUCGAAUCUACAGUGUCCAGUACACCCCCACUAACUACAUGUGGAUGUCUAAAUUUAAAUUACCUAAAUGAGAUUAAAAAUUAUAUUUCUCAGUCCCA
Non-coding RNA from Chlorocebus sabaeus (green monkey), 1476 nucleotides. Lineage: Eukaryota; Metazoa; Chordata; Mammalia; Primates; Cercopithecidae. The record is from the annotation of a RefSeq genome assembly.